AAAAUCAAUGUCAUUGGAUCAAGUUGGUUAGUCUCUCUUACUUGAGUAUUUUUGUCAUUGCCUGUCAUGUUCCUUGUUGUUACCAUGUAGACACUCUAAAAGGUUUCUUCCCAGACUCACAGUGAACGUCAAAUGUUCUUACAAGGUCGAGAUCCUAUCAUAGUGACUCCUUAUGUCUCUGUCUUCCAGUCUUCUUGACCUUCAGGUAGGAUGAUCUCAUCCGGUUGAUUCUUCCUCUCUCCAAGCCGAAGGGGAGGGGAUACCUGCGAAGACACUCCGACGAUCAAGUCAGUCCGAGUACAAUAUGCAGGUGAGUUGAGAGUGAAAAAUUACCUUUGGUGCUAGGGUCCCCUCUAAUAUUUAUACUUUUUUAUGGUCCUCAACUAUUGUAGGCUUGCACGGGAUCCAAAAGAGGAUCCAACUAUGCCUUAAUCAUGGUUUACCAUUAAACAUGACUUAAUUACAAUUAAUUGUAGGUUUAUGCGUUGUGUUGGGGUUAGGGGAAUCAAUCGACCUUCUUAGCUAUUCGGUCAUGUCGAUCUUCUUGGUAAUCUGGUAGUACAAUGUCUUUUUUUACUGUAUUUAUUAUUAUUUUGUGCUUUUUAUUAGAUCUACUGUUACGCUUAAAGUUAUAUUUUUUUGAAAUAAUAAUUUUAUUUUUAUAAAAAAAAAUUACUAUUUAGUUUUUAAUUUUCUUAAAUUAAAUAAAUUUUAUGUAUUCAAUUUUUAACAAAAAACAAUAUUCACAUAUUUUGUUAAUGAUCUCGUACAAAAGAGAUUGAGAGAACUUCUUCAACCUGCUAAACUCUUUUCAGUGGGUUAGUUCACAAUCCUCCUUGCACUUCUUAAUUUCGUUUUGGUUUAAUUUCUACUCUUGCUCCUCUACUCCGGUCAAAUUCUCUUUUCUUCCUAGGCUCUCGAUCGAGAGGACACUUGUAAAAAUUGUCAUUAAUGUGCGAUAAUGAUGUAACUUUUUGUUAAAAGUUGUGACUAUUUAUAUGCUCAUUAUAGACUAAUUAUUAUUGGGCGGAAUUAACAUUUGAAUCGUUAUUAAAAACA
This 1059-nucleotide long non-coding RNA is filed under the name Phaseolus vulgaris (common bean). RNAcentral's name for it is "long non-coding RNA (PVUL_LNC001470)". The record is from RNAcentral. Lineage: Eukaryota; Viridiplantae; Streptophyta; Magnoliopsida; Fabales; Fabaceae.